UUUAUAUUUGUUGGUGCUGCUAUGAAAGACACAGCUCAGAUUCAAAGGGCCAGUGUGUCAAGGGCUGGAAGGCAUUCACAGCUCUGAGGAGUCUCCAGUUUCAGGCAUAAGCCAAAGUGAAAAUGGAGCAGCAAGAGCAAGACUGGGUAUUUGCUAUGUCUGUAAGCAGAUGAAGGCCAUGGUAAGUGUGGUUUCCUCUAAGGAUGCCUGGCUUUCCCCUCAUCCUUCAGGAGGUGACUGCUCUGCAGAGAGUCAGAAACUCAACUAUAUUUCCACCAGAUUUUUAGAUGCUGGCUCCAUUGGCUUCCAGUGGCUGCAUUUUGAAUAUGAUGAACUAUGAACUAUUUUGAAAACCCCAACAAAGUCACCAGUACGUGCACUGAUAGCAAUGAAACUGUCUUACUGCCUGAUAAUAUCCAUACUGUUACUUUUCAGAAUAUCCAGAGUUUCCACAUCUGAACUGUUUCUGUUGUUAUGGAGUGAUGUGAUGCAUGGCGUGAUUUACUGAAGACAGAACAGAGUUCUGUAUGUUUGUUUAAACAAUCGUUUUAAUAGUAAUAGUUUUAAUACAAAAAUAUAUCAUAGUAGCUGAAUGGAUUCCCAUGAACACAGUGUCCAUGUACUUGGGGUUGUAUAGAAAAGGUCAGGAAUUUGGAAGAAAAUGAAGAGUUAUUCUUCCCAUUUUCUGGGCAGAGAAUCCUAUCAUUAAGAUCUCAAGUGACAAAUCAGGUUGCAUUGGGGAGCUGGUAAAGAAACUAUGACUGAGCAUAAAUUUUAUAAGCCUUGGGGUGCAGUUCCAUAAUGCAGCUGAGCUACUAAACUGUAGCUCCCACUGAAAAGGGAGAUCUUAAUUCCAUCCAUCCAUUCCCUCCUGCCAAUGCUGGUGCUUGUCUGACCAUUCGUUGAGCCAGUUUAGAGUCCAACAGGUGAAAAACCCAACUCACCCCACUCCUGGGAGCAGGAGAAAGGAGUAGGGGAACACCACUGGGUUCUCCUCACUUUCUCUUGUUGUGUCUUUUUGAGUUACUGCGAAGAUCUGAUAAUGUUGUGUGAGCCUGUACCAACACCAUAAUCUCAGGGCAGCAGAGGUUUGAGCAUUAAAGGGGGUCCUGCCCUCCUUUCUACCACCACUACUCUCCUUGUUCUGGUCUGUUAGGGCCUGGCAUGCUUUCGGCAUGGCUGCUUGGAUUUCACCCUUAGAUCCAGAUAAUGCAUCAACAAUGAAACACAGGCUGGGUUUCUCCUUACCAGCUAGGUACUGUAAAAUAAGUAAAUUGUGGGUACAUGGAAGUAACUGAAGUUGGCAGAAAAUGUCAUUUGUGUGGUAUACAUGAAUUGCUUCCUAUUUCUUGUCAACUCUAUAAAAUAACAAACUUCAUUAGUUGACCCAAAUGCAAGUACUAAAAGUAAACACCUCAGCAACACUUUCCUUGGGCUUUGCAGAAUAAAGUUCUAGUAUUUACAGAGCCUGAUUUUUCCA
Molecule: long non-coding RNA, 1480 nt
Organism: Pezoporus occidentalis (night parrot)
Lineage: Eukaryota; Metazoa; Chordata; Aves; Psittaciformes; Psittacidae
Exons: 3
Source: RefSeq, a predicted model, not a curated record